RNAcentral lists this ribosomal RNA (484 nucleotides) under uncultured bacterium. RNAcentral's name for it is "partial 16S ribosomal RNA". It matches the Rfam family "Bacterial small subunit ribosomal RNA", at positions 30 to 507 of the family's 1533-position model. The record is from RNAcentral.
AUUGAACGCUGGCGGCAGGCCUAACACAUGCAAGUCGAGCGGAUGAAGGGAGCUUGCUCCUGGAUUCAGCGGCGGACGGGUGAGUAAUGCCUAGGAAUCUGCCCGGUAGUGGGGGAUAACGUGCGGAAACGGGCGCUAAUACCGCAUACGACCUGAGGGAGAAAGUGGGGGAUCGUCGGACCUCACGCUAUCAGAUGAGCCUAGGUCGGAUUAGCUAGUUGGUGGGGUAAAGGCCUACCAAGGCGACGAUCCGUAACUGGUCUGAGAGGAUGACCAGUCACACUGGAACUGAGACACGGUCCAGACUCCUACGGGAGGCAGCAGUGGGGAAUAUUGGACAAUGGGCGAAAGCCUGAUCCAGCCAUGCCGCGUGUGUGAAGAAGGUCUUCGGAUUGUAAAGCACUUUAAGUUGGGAGGAAGGGCAGUAAGUUAAUACCUUGCUGUUUUGACGUUACCAACAGAAUAAGCACCGGCUAACUUCGUG